UAUAGUCCUCGCGUCGUCGGUUCCCGCAUGAGGCGGGACGUAAUAGGGAACGCGGUGAGGGAUUUUCCCGAUUCCGUGGCUGCCCCCGCAACUGUAAGCGGCGAGCACCCUCCGCUAGCCACUGGAGCGUUUCGUUCCGGGAAGGCCGAGGGAAGGCGUCGACCCGCGAGCCAGGAGACCUGCCGCCGGCAUCAACCUUGA
RNAcentral lists this non-coding RNA (201 nucleotides) under Methyloceanibacter marginalis. The record is from RNAcentral. Lineage: Bacteria; Pseudomonadati; Pseudomonadota; Alphaproteobacteria; Hyphomicrobiales; Hyphomicrobiaceae.